AUCAGACCAACCAAAUUGUUAAUAAUGAAGGAGACAAAAUCCCUUCAAAAUGUCCAGGGAUAAGGGUACGAAGAUUGUGCGAAUAUUGAAAUCUAAUAGACAGGAAGUACUAUUAAUUUUAAGACCAUAAUGGCGAAAUUUCUUUCUCUUCGACUUCAAACACUAAAUCAAGUGAGGAUUUUAAAACUGCUAUGAGCGGAUAGUGCUGAAUUGUACGGAUGUUAUCAAGAGCGACAAGUUUGUGGACGGAACUGAAAAAGAAAAACACAUUUUUUAAUGCAAUUCAGAAAAUCGCCGGAAAUAAAAUUAUUAUUUUCAACUUACUUGGGAUAAAAUGAGGUAAAAAGGUAUCCUAUAAUUCCGCCCAUCGAAUGUCCUAUGCAGGACACCUCUUCCCAUUCGAAAUGCGACAAUACUCUUCUAAUUGCAAUUAAUGCCUCGAUAUGCGCAUCAUACCAAACCUGCGGACAAUACGUGGUCAAUCCAUGACCGGGAAGGUCGAGGGCGAAAAAUGUAGAGGGUGCAUUUGAGUCCGGUGACAUUAAGAGGGGGAUGAGGUUAUCGAACGAUCCUGCAUUAUCGAGCCAUCCGUGCACACAAAUUAUUGGAGGGUGUGGUUUGGUUUGAGUGAGUUUCUGACCGGCAGAUUUCCAUAAUUUUCCUUAAAAUUAAGAAAUUCAACUUUAGUUUUAAUCGAAAAUUAUUUUUUUCCGUCAAAGAACCUCACCUGCAAUUACUCCACCUCCUGGGACAUCAAUUUUGACCUCGGUAAUGGUAUAAUUUUGUGAGGAUGAUGAUGAAUUUCUAACAUUUCCUGAGUUUAGUUUAAACUCUUUUAAAAAAUCUUUGUUUAUUAUAUCCAGUAAAGUUCUACGAUGAGGUGUAAUUAGAGUACGGCUUAUUAACAGACUAGUUAAUCUUAAUACUGUCAUAAUGGCUAUUUUUCAAUAAUGAGUUUUAAAUCGAAAUCAAAUUAACCUAAAUUAUCACACCAGCAGUAAAAAUAUAAUAUUUCUCUGUCGGAUUUUCCUUUUCGCAAAAACAAGCAUGAUGAAAUAUUGCACGUGUUAAAAAGUGAGACAGUUUCAUGAUGAACUUUCAUCCAUAGGUACAUAAUAUUAGGAUUUAUUUACCUCAACAAAUUGCAUUAUGUAGUUAAACAUCGAAUUUUAAUUUAGGCUACAAUAAAAUAUUUAUAGUUAAUUUAAGAAUUAUUCUCAUUAUUCUUGCUUAAAUUAGUAUGUAUUUGGAAUAUUCAUGUAAUGAAAUCAUAAAAACAUGCAAAAGCGACGAUAAAAUAUUUUCAUAUUUUAUCUAUGCAUUUUAUGCAACAAGCCUGGAUUUUAACAAGACCGAAAUCAGAAAAUAUAAGUAUGCAUCACACUUUAAAUUUAAAAAUUAAAUAUUGACGUAUGUACAUUUAAAAUCCUUCCAUUAUAAUUCUGCAUGCACAAAAAUAAUCCUUGCACGAUGAUAAGUCGUUAUCUAUCUAUUUAGUAUGCCAGACAUAUAUACCCCAUCACACCAUGAGGAUGAUUAUGGUACCCCACCCAUCCUAAGAUCAGUUAUGUAUCAUCAAUAACUAUAUGAGAACAAGAUUAAAUAGUUGGGCAUGAUUUCAUUCCUGAAAAAGAUACGAUAAGCUAACCACCGUAAAACAAACCAGGGAAUGCGCCGUUCGAUCAUCGAUGCAAUAAUUAUGUCAUGAUGGGAUGAUAAUGCCUCAACAUUUACCUGUCACGAUUAGUAAUUUGUUCAAGAAUAUUAAUCGUGUCAUUUCAUAUCUGCUCCAAUUUCACGGAGGUUAGAGGUUGACAAAAGUACGCACAUACAUAUGCGUAAAAUCCAGAAAUUCAAUCAAAUAUAGUUUCAUUUUGGGAUAGAGAUCACAAUUAAUAAUUUUUCAGAAUGUGCACCUGUAUGGGGAAAUACCUGUCAAAAAUAUUCUUCUGCUGUGGGAAACACACGGGAAGCUAUGAUUUAGAAAAGUUUGAAAAGUCCGUACAGCUCAAAGGGACAGUUCCAGUCGUGGGGGGAGGCGAUAAGUAGUCCUGAGGAUGUUGGUGAUAAGUAAACAGCAAUGUGAAUGUUUAGGAGUAAAUGUUUUGAGUACUUUAGUUAAGGUGUAAAAUGUUUGAUUUUUAUAAUAUUUCGGCCACAAUUCAAAGGGACGCACAAUAUGCAGAUUUUAUAUUUUAUAAACAGUUUGUCAAUUUAUUUAUAUGAAUUAAGUUUAAUUUGUUGAACAGUUGAACAAUUUGAUUUAAUUAAUAAGACGGAUAACUUAAAUUUUUAAUUAACGCAGUAGCCAAAUUAGAUUCGUGGAUUAAAUUAAAUUUGAAGUCAGUAAUGACAGUAACAAAAUUAAUGAAUAUUGUAAAAUAUUUUUAUAAAUAGCUAACGAUUCAAAUUUGAUAUCAAUUUUGAAAUUCGAUAACUAACGAAAUGAACAGAUUCGAAUAAAAAUUAAUUUGUAAAUAA
Folsomia candida is the source of this 2481-nucleotide long non-coding RNA. RefSeq lists it as uncharacterized. NCBI's taxonomy places the organism in Eukaryota, Metazoa, Arthropoda, Collembola, Entomobryomorpha, Isotomidae. The record is from RefSeq and is a predicted model, not a curated record. The transcript is spliced from 3 exons.